GACGAACGCUGGCGGCGUGCUUAACACAUGCAAGUCGAACGGAAAGGCCCUGCUCUUGUGGGGUGCUCGAGUGGCGAACGGGUGAGUAACACGUGAGUAACCUGCCCUUGACUUUGGGAUAACUUCAGGAAACUGGGGCUAAUACCGGAUAUGAGCUCCUGCUGCACGGUGGGGGUUGGAAAGUUUCGGCGGUUGGGGCUGGACUCGCGGCUUAUCAGCUUGCUGGUGGGGUAGUGGCUUACCAAGGCUUUGACGGGUAGCCGGCCUGAGAGGGUGACCGGCCACAUUGGGACUGAGAUACGGCCCAGACUCCUACGGGAGGCAGCAGUGGGGAAUAUUGCACAAUGGGCGGAAGCCUGAUGCAGCAACGCCGCGUGCGGGAUGACCGCCUUCGGGUUGUAAACCGCUUUCGCCUGUGACGAAGCGUGAGUGACGGUAAUGGGUAAAGAAGCACCGGCUAACUACGUG
This 468-nucleotide ribosomal RNA is filed under the name uncultured bacterium. RNAcentral describes it as "partial 16S ribosomal RNA". It matches the Rfam family "Bacterial small subunit ribosomal RNA", at positions 28 to 507 of the family's 1533-position model. The record is from RNAcentral.